UUUUUUCUCUCUCUAAUUCAUUCCUUCUUUUGGCUCUCACUUGCAUCCUCGUCUCUUUCUUCCUCCGUGAACACCAAACAAGUCACAGAGCAUCACUACACACCAGUCCUCACCCACCAUGACAAUCUGGAACUUCAUUGAUGAUGAUGAGUUAGGCAUGCUGAUGAGGGUGUUCGGUUCUGUCUCCUUUUUCGAGGAAGCCUCUUUUGAGGAAGCUAACGAAGUCAUCACAAAAUUGAAGGAUGUUAUUGAUCAGUAUGUUUUGUAAUCAUUGUUAUUGAUUAAUGAUAACAAGUGUAGGAAAUUUUUUAUUUUGUGUAAAUUUGUGGUUUCAAUUUCAGUUUAGAAGGUCUUUGUUUUGGUUUUAUUGUAGAAUUGCGGUUAUCUAAAGACUUUAUUUUUAUGCUCUUCGUGCAGAUUUUUUUUGGGUUGAUAAUAGUCAAAGUAAUUUAAACUAGGUUCCAAUCAAUUGGGUUUGUCUAGUGGCACACUAUCAAUGAUUAUGAAAGUUUUAAUCUUUUUCAUGUUGAUAGUGUAAAUGAUAUUAUCAGAGGAUUGAAAUUAAAUUCUAGAUGUAAAUGUAAAAUCUCUGUUUUUACAAUAUGGAAACUCAGCCAAGUGAAGACAGGAUUAAUGCGUGAAGGGUUGUCAUUGUAGGCGAGCACAAAUGAGUUUUCCGGUGAUGUUAUGGCUUCUUUGUGUUCAGGGAAGAAGAAAGAGAGGAGGGUGCAAGUGAGAGAGUGAGAAAUAAGAGAUGAAUGGGAGAGAGAAAUUUUGUAUUUAUUUAUUUAUAAUGACAUGCAAACUUUUGAUUGGAU
RNAcentral lists this long non-coding RNA (818 nucleotides) under Glycine max (soybean). Its description in RNAcentral is "long non-coding RNA (GMAX_LNC003895)". Lineage: Eukaryota; Viridiplantae; Streptophyta; Magnoliopsida; Fabales; Fabaceae. The record is from RNAcentral.